AUGACGAACACAAAGGGUAAGAGGCGAGGCACCAGAUAGAUGUUCUCUAGGCCUUUCAGAAACACAGAGUUGUUCCUUUGGCCAUGUACACACAAAUCUAUAAGAAAGACGAUAUUAGACAUCGAGGGAAUGUGUACUAUUCAAAAAGGAAUGUCCCAUAAGUGUUACCAUGGCAAAACUGUGUCUACACUGUUAACCAGCAUGCUGUUGGCAUUGUUGUAAACAAAGAAGCUAAGGGCAAGAUUCUUGCCAAGAGAAUUAAUGUGCGGAUUGAGUACAUUAAGCACUCUAAGAGCCAAGAUAGCUUCCUGAAACGCAUGAGGGAAAAUGAUCAGAAAAAGGAAGCCAAAAAGAGAGGUACCUGGGUUCAACUCAAGUGCCAGGCUGCUCCACCCAGAGAAGUGUACUUUGUGAGAACCAAUGGAAAGGAGUCUGGGCUGCUGGAACCUAUCCCCUAUGAAU
This 462-nucleotide long non-coding RNA is filed under the name Homo sapiens (human). Its description in RNAcentral is "non-protein coding lnc-RPL36A-2:1". Lineage: Eukaryota; Metazoa; Chordata; Mammalia; Primates; Hominidae. The record is from RNAcentral.